CAGUCGCCGCGGGAAUACGAAGGGUGCAAGCGUUAAUCGGAGUUACUGGGCGUAAAGCGUGCGCAGGCGGUUAUAUAAGUCAGAUGUGAAAUCCCCGAGCUCAACCUGGGAACUGCAUUUGAGACUGUAUGGCUAGAGUGUGUCAGAGGGGGGUAGAAUUCCACGUGUAGCAGUGAAAUGCGUAGAUAUGUGGAGGAAUACCGAUGGCGGAGGCAGCCCCCUGGGAUAACACUGACGCUCAUGCACGAAAGCGUGGGGAGCAAACAGGAUUAGAUACCCCCGUAGUCCCUGUCUCUUAUAC
Molecule: ribosomal RNA, 301 nt
Filed under: uncultured bacterium
Lineage: Bacteria
Description: partial 16S ribosomal RNA
Rfam family: Bacterial small subunit ribosomal RNA
Source: RNAcentral